Long non-coding RNA from Misgurnus anguillicaudatus (oriental weatherfish), 2875 nucleotides. RefSeq lists it as uncharacterized. NCBI's taxonomy places the organism in Eukaryota, Metazoa, Chordata, Actinopteri, Cypriniformes, Cobitidae. The record is from RefSeq and is a predicted model, not a curated record.
AUAGUGGCCACAAUGUGCAUCACAUCAGCCUGAUCUCUCUGCAUUCUUGUGUUGUCUAGCUCUGAGUUAAGAUGUCCUAACAGGCACUUUGCUGCCAUAGUUUUCCAUUUAAAAGUGAUUGCUGCCCGCUCAUGUUGUGUUAGGGUCCAACGGUGAACUGCACCCUUGUUCAGAGAGAACCUACUGAUGCCUCCCUUUGUCUUGGAGUCAUGAUUGUCUGUUUGCUCAAUGACUUGAUCACAUGCAGUGCUGGCAAAACCAUGACUUUGAUGUCUUUGUGCCACAAAGUCACCUGAAAGAAGCUGUUGGUGUGGUCAUUUCAACCCAGUAUGCCGUCAAAUACCUGGCAGAGUUUACUUUGUCACAGGCAAAAAACCAGGGCAGCAUACUUUGCACAGUGGACAAAUGGAGAGCCCAGUUCCCCUCUCUUGUUACCCUGAUGAAAAGAAGCAAAUCUGCCAUCAUGUCAAGGUAUGUGCUCCAAAAUGCAAAUGUGUAGUUACAGUUGUUUUUUUACCACAAAUUCCUCAUAACCUAGCAGUAAUUGCUGAAAUGUGUCUGAUGUUAGCAUGACCUUGAACUCUUCAGAGGGAAAACAUUCCUGCAUAUCUGUUGCCACUUUUAAAGCAGCUGCAUUUUGUUAUUGUGUGAGUGUUUCCAAGUAUGCCCACCAGCGCAGUUUCUUGAGUGCUUCCAGCAGGAGUUUGUGAGCCCGUAUGCUCCUGUUGUAGUGAUGGCCAGAGAUUACUCCAUUGAUUGAGCCUGCGGCCACCAGGUCGGACUCAAUCAAGAUAUCCUGAAAGCCAGCAUCACCAUACAACUUUCCUAUGCAUUACAGAUAUGCCAUUGCUGUGUGGAACUCUCCCAUCCUCACUACAAUUCUAUCUGAGCUGUUAGCAAUGGCAAUGGAGCGGCUCAGGAUGGUGUGGACAGUGUUGAGGUCAGUCAGGCUGGGGUCAAUAACUGGUAGGUAAACAACAUAUGUUGAUGGUUGGUCUGUGUCUUCCUUCAACAUGAUAUUAAACCUUGUCCAUCCAGGGAGGACUUUGCCCUGGGCCUCAGGUACUUUCAGUAAAAAGAAUACAGAAUCAUUUAUUCUACCAGUAGUUUGGGAAUAUCUGUAUUGAUCCUGCUGGAGAUCUAUCUUCAAUGCAAAAUUCUGUGGACCAGACCGCUUUCCUCUUGUGUAGGUUGAAAGAUUCAGUGGAGGAGGAUGAAUAGACCGCUCUCGUGUUCUCUGUCUGGGUAAUGUGGCUGCUGAGCAAGGGCAGUAUCAUGCUCAAGGACCUGGGAAUUGGAUGAGCAGUGACCCAGGCCAUUUAACAACCCUAUAAGCUGUGCAGAGCCAGUCAUAUGCUGAACUGCCAUUGCAAGUGAGCACUGUUUUGGCAUGAGCCACCGUACUCUGGUUGCCAGGGUAAUGUCUUGACAAGUGGCCACUAUCUUUCUGCUGUCCUCUAAAGUGACAUCAACACAUUCAUCUGAUGGUGACAUUCCUGAUGUCCAUGAAAUUAAGUUAAAAAGUUGGUGAGGCACUACACUCAGGGCAUUUUCCAGUGUGAGGUCACCUGCGGUGAGAGGCCAUGAAUGCUUUGUUAAUUUUAUUGAUGUCUUUUGAAUUAUUUCUUUAGAAUCAUUGCUGCAUGAUAAAACGCCUGAGAAUCAUCUGUGUUGGUGGCAUUUUCUUUUUCAAUAUCUACUUGACUUGUAUUUUUUCCUCACUUUCUUUGCAAUUUUCACUCUCUGUGUUUCUUCCACAGUUUUUUUAAAAAACAAAUUCAGCUUUGAUAGUCGCAGUACUUCACGUUGUUUUAACAGCCUUUCCUUAAUGACUGUUUUGCAGAAGUGCUUGUAUCCAUUUGCAUAUGUUCAUUUCUGUUCUCUCAAUCUUGUAUGGUGAGGUACCGGGUAUAAUCUCGAUAGCAGGUAAAGUGAUACCCACCAAAUCCCUGUCUUGGAUAUGGAGAAGGAGUGACUCAUCCCUUCUCCCUUCAGCUGGCAAGAAGUAAUUUCCCGGCAUGUAGUGUUUCACACCGUGUUAACUUUUCUUUUACCCUUUUCUGCUGUGUGUCUGAACCUUAUACUUCUCAUGUUUGCAAAUAAUGCACUGGAAGCAGGUGUAGGGGCCGCUUGGACGUGUGAAGAUCACAGGCAAAAGACUUCAAGGCCCAUGUUUUUACUGGCGUUUCCUCACCAUCCUCUGCCUCUACCACUAAAAGUGCCAAAAAAUAUGUUUAGGUUCUGCAUUCUUCCCCACAUCACUGAUUGAAGAAAAAUGCUUGGCGGGGGAAAACUUAUGCUCCAUAUAUUGGUUCCACCUGUUCCCUUAGCAUGGGUAAUAAACCGGUUUCACAUCAUUCAGGUGUUUGGCCUUGUUGAUGUUAAUGAUGCCAUAACUGAAAGGCUAAGUUUUUGCAUGUUUUUAUUAUAUUACUGUUAAUACACUGCAUAUCUACUAUUUGUACUACUCUAUGUAUGUCUUAUACCACACCGCCUGUCUAUACAAUAUAAUACUAACCUUGCUUUGCGGUUUCUUCAACUGCCUCUCUUCUCCUUUGUGCAUGUUCGAUCUUCGUGAUAUUUGUGAAAUGGCUGUAGCACUCUGUGUGGUAGCCAAUGUCAGCUGGUUUGACUAAAUGGUUUGUAGGUUCCUGGCUUUCUAACUUGUGUGCCUGUAGUGCCUCUUCUGCUAUAAUGCUUUUUCUGCACUCAAGGUCUUUCCACAGAAACACUGAUUUAAUACAUGUCUAGGGUGACCACCUGCUAGGGGUAUGUAACUGAGGGACAAUGUGGGACACUCCCUGGCCCGGCCGUGCACCCAACCCACGGGUCGACUUAUCGAUAGUGGUUUACCCAUUUCUAGCACAUACCACCU